AGUAACGCGUGAGGAACCUGCCUUUCAGAGGGGGACAACAGUUGGAAACGACUGCUAAUACCGCAUAACACAUAGGUGUCGCAUGGCAUUUAUGUCAAAGAUUUAUCGCUGAAAGAUGGCCUCGCGUCUGAUUAGCUAGUUGGUAGGGUAACGGCCUACCAAGGCGACGAUCAGUAGCCGGACUGAGAGGUUGGCCGGCCACAUUGGGACUGAGAUACGGCCCAGACUCCUACGGAAGGCAGCAG
RNAcentral lists this ribosomal RNA (245 nucleotides) under uncultured bacterium. RNAcentral describes it as "partial 16S ribosomal RNA". It matches the Rfam family "Bacterial small subunit ribosomal RNA", at positions 109 to 354 of the family's 1533-position model. The record is from RNAcentral.